CUUUUGAGAUUGGACGGUCUGGAGGUUGAAAUGUUUUUCUUGGCGAUUUGGUGAUUGAGGAUUUGGCAAGCAUGGCAGAAGUACAUUGAUAUUGUUAGUGAGCUAUAUCGAUCCUACUUGGACUGAUGGUUUGAUUGUGAAGAGCAAAGGUGGAGAUGGUAGCUCGAUUGGUAAUGAUUCAAAAAGAUCAAUGGGACUGGUUUUCAGCACUUUUGUUUAUGAGGAGGGAUCUGAAAAUGAUUUCAAGAUGGAUGCUAUACAUGCCUUUGCCAGAGAAGGAGAAGUGGAUAACUUGCUUAAAUGCAUUGAUAGUGGUGUUUAAGUUGAUGCAAAGGAAUCCUAUUACAGUUUGAACCUCAGAAGUCAGAGCUGCUUGGAGGGUUGUGGAUAAUGGGUUCUCAGCAGUUGAUGCAGUUGUUAAUUGAUGGCUGUUCGGCUUGU
Rosa chinensis is the source of this 441-nucleotide long non-coding RNA. RefSeq lists it as uncharacterized. The record is from RefSeq and is a predicted model, not a curated record. Lineage: Eukaryota; Viridiplantae; Streptophyta; Magnoliopsida; Rosales; Rosaceae. The transcript has 4 exons.